CGGAGGAUCCAAGCGUUAUCCGGAAUCAUUGGGUUUAAAGGGUCCGUAGGCGGUUUAGUAAGUCAGUGGUGAAAGCCCAUCGCUCAACGGUGGAACGGCCAUUGAUACUGCUAAACUUGAAUUAUUAGGAAGUAACUAGAAUAUGUAGUGUAGCGGUGAAAUGCUUAGAGAUUACAUGGAAUACCAAUUGCGAAGGCAGGUUACUACUAAUGGAUUGACGCUGAUGGACGAAAGCGUGGGUAGCGAACAGGAUUAGAUACCCUGGUAGUCCACGCCGUAAACGAUGGAUACUAGCUGUUGGGGGCAACUUCAGUGGCUAAGCGAAAGUGAUAAGUAUCCCACCGUGGGGAGUACGUUCGCAAGAAUG
Molecule: ribosomal RNA, 367 nt
Filed under: uncultured organism
Description: bacterial SSU rRNA
Rfam family: Bacterial small subunit ribosomal RNA
Source: RNAcentral